RNAcentral lists this ribosomal RNA (116 nucleotides) under uncultured eukaryote. Its description in RNAcentral is "partial small subunit ribosomal RNA". It matches the Rfam family "Bacterial small subunit ribosomal RNA", at positions 1410 to 1525 of the family's 1533-position model. The record is from RNAcentral.
GUGGGCUGCACCAGAAGUAGAUAGCUUAACCUUCGGGAGGGCGUUUACCACGGUGUGGUUCAUGACUGGGGUGAAGUCGUAACAAGGUAGCUGUAGGUGAACCUGCAGAAGGAUCA